Molecule: ribosomal RNA, 374 nt
Filed under: uncultured organism
Description: partial 16S ribosomal RNA
Rfam family: Bacterial small subunit ribosomal RNA
Source: RNAcentral
GUAGGUGGCAAGCGUUGUCCGGAAUUAUUGGGCGUAAAGCGCGCGCAGGCGGUUCUUUAAGUCUGAUGUGAAAGCCCACGGCUCAACCGUGGAGGGUCAUUGGAAACUGGAGAACUUGAGUACAGAAGAGGAAAGCGGAAUUCCACGUGUAGCGGUGAAAUGCGUAGAGAUGUGGAGGAACACCAGUGGCGAAGGCGGCUUUCUGGUCUGUAACUGACGCUGAGGCGCGAAAGCGUGGGGAGCAAACAGGAUUAGACACCCUGGUAGUCCACGCCGUAAACGAUGAGUGCUAAGUGUUAGGGGGGUUUUCCGCCCCCCUUAGUGCUGCAGCUAACGCAUUAAGCACUCCGCCUGGGAGUACGGCCGCAAGGCUG